AUUGAACGCUGGCGGCAUGCCUUACACAUGCAAGUCGAACGGUAACAGGUCUUUCGGGAUGCUGACGAGUGGCGAACGGGUGAGUAAUACAUCGGAACGUGCCUAGUUGUGGGGGAUAACUACUCGAAAGAGUGGCUAAUACCGCAUGAGAUCUACGGAUGAAAGCAGGGGACCUUCGGGCCUUGUGCUACUAGAGCGGCCGAUGGCAGAUUAGGUAGUUGGUGGGAUAAAAGCUUACCAAGCCUACGAUCUGUAGCUGGUCUGAGAGGACGAUCAGCCACACUGGGACUGAGACACGGCCCAGACUCCUACGGGAGGCAGCAGUGGGGAAUUUUGGACAAUGGGCGCAAGCCUGAUCCAGCAAUGCCGCGUGCAGGAUGAAGGCCUUCGGGUUGUAAACUGCUUUUGUACGGAACGAAAUGUCUUGGGUUAAUACCCUGGGAUCAUGACGGUACCGUAAGAAUAAGCACCGGCUAACUACGUGCCAGCCGCCGCCGUAA
This 500-nucleotide ribosomal RNA is filed under the name uncultured bacterium. Its description in RNAcentral is "partial 16S ribosomal RNA". It matches the Rfam family "Bacterial small subunit ribosomal RNA", at positions 30 to 523 of the family's 1533-position model. The record is from RNAcentral.